UUUCUACUCCCUCCGUACAGAAAUACUUGUCGGAGAAAUCGAUAAAAAUGAAUGUAUCUAGAACUAAAAUACAUCUAGAUACAUCCAUUUCUCUGACAAGUAUUUCUGAACGGAGGGAGUAUAUU
Non-coding RNA from Triticum aestivum (bread wheat), 125 nucleotides. NCBI's taxonomy places the organism in Eukaryota, Viridiplantae, Streptophyta, Magnoliopsida, Poales, Poaceae. The record is from Rfam.